AGCCGCAGCCGCUCGCGCUCCCGCAGCCGCUCCCGCUACAGCCGCUCCAAGUCCCGCUCCCGCACGCGCUCGCGCUCGCGCUCCACCUCCAAGUCCAGGUCGGCGCGAAGGUCCAAGUCCAAGUCCUCGUCGGUGUCCAGGUCGCGGUCGCGCUCCCGGUCCAGGUCCCGGUCCAGGAGUCCUCCGCCCGCGUCCAAGCGGGAGUCCAAGUCCAGGUCGCGCUCCAAGAGCCCCCCCAAGUCUCCCGAGGAGGAGGGCGCCGUGUCCUCUUGAGCAAAAGCUGCGGUCUCCUGUUUGAUAAAAGAAUAUUGGCCAGUAUUGCAGAUUUUAACUGAUUUGGCUGAUCCUCCAGGGACCAGUUUCUGUGGGCGUGUAUUGGAGCAGGUUUGUCUUUAAAUGUUAAAGAUGCACUAUCCUCUUAGAGAAAGCGAUCAGUUCAACUAUUGUUGUGCUGACUGGGACUUCGUGUUCUAUCGGAUGUGGCAAACGAAUUGCAAAAACGGAGCAAUGAGCUUUUGGAACCCCCAAAAAAAGUUCACAGGUACUGCGCUGGGUGGGGAAAGGAUAGUGUGUCUUUAACUCUCCAAUUGUUUGGUCCUGUUUUUUAAAAGGAAAGGGCCCUGCGUAGCUCGAGACAUUUAAAGCCUUUAUUCUCGGUUGCCAGAUGUUUCGUUCGGAAACUAAACAUUUAUCGUAAAGUAGACUGAUUUCCUGAUUUCGAGUUUUGGUUUGGAUAUACAGUCCUUUUAUUUUUCCCCCCUUUUUUCUUUUUUUCUUUUUCUUUUUCUUUUACCCCCAUCCCUCCCUUAUUUUUCACCUUGGAUGUUUGGCCAAGAUGGCCUUAAACACAAAUUUGUAAACGCGGAUGGUUAGCCUUUGUGAAAAUUUCCUAAUUGGGCCUUUAAAACACCAGAUAAUGGCUGGGUGGAACCUUUCCGUAACCUACUUGUUUCACCAGAGCCUUAGUAAGUACGUGCCUGAAACUGAAACCAUGUGCACGUUCUCGUCGCUUCCCAGCGAUGGAAGGUAAACUGAACUUUUUUCUUUCCAAACCUAGAUGUGUCGACAAGCAACAUAAUUGAAAGGAAGAUUUGGGAGAAAAGGACCACAUGCUCAGUCCAUCGAAGAGUCCUUGGCACAGGCAACUGGCUAUUGAAAAGGUUAUUUUGUAACAUUUUGUCUAACUUUUUACUUGUUUUAAGCUUUGCCUCAGGUGGCAAACUUCAUUUUAUGUGCCAUUUUGUUGCUGUUAUUCAAAUUUCUUGUAAUUUAGUGAGGUGAACGACUUCAGAUUUCAUUAUUGGCUUGGAUAUUUGAGGUAAAUUUUCCUUUUGUUUAUAUAGUGCUGACUUUUUUUGUUUGAAAUUAAACAGAUUGGUAACCUAAUUUGGGGCCUCCUGACUUUUAAGGAAACGUGUGCAGCCAUUUACGCACAGCCUAAAGCUGUCAAGAGAUUGACUCAACAUUGCCUUCAUUCCUUAAAAUUAAAAAGCUACAAAAGUUGGUGUAAAUUUGUUUGUAUAUGUUAUUUACCUUCAGAUCUAAGUGGUAAAUCUGAACCCAAAUUUGUGUAAAGACUUUUCAGGUGAAAAGACUUGAUUUUUUGGAAGGAUUGUUACCAAACACAAUUCUAAUCUCUUCUCUUGUGUAUUUUUGUGCACUAGGCGCAGUUGUGUAGCAGUUCAGUAAUGCUGGUUAGCUGUUAAGGUGGCGUGUUGCAGUGCAGAGUGCUUGGCUGUUUCCUGUUUUCUCCCGAUUGCUCCGGUGUAAAGAUGCCUUGUCGUGCAGAAACAAAUGGCUGUCCGGUUUAUUAAAAUGCCUGACCACUGCACUUCCAGUCACCCGGGCCUUGCAUAUAGAUAACGGAGCAUACAGUGAGCACAUCUAGCUGAUGAUAAAUACACCUUUUUUUUUUCCCCUCCCCUUCCCCUUCAAAUGGUAAAUCCAAUCAUCUUCCAUGUAUGAACUUAAAAUAUGGAAAAUGUUAAGGAAGCAAAUGGUUUGUAACUUUGUAAGUACUUAUGACAUGGUGUAUCUUUUUGCUCAUGAAUAUUCUGUACUAUAACCAUUGUUUCUGUAGUUUAAUUAAAAUGUUUUCUUGGUGUUAGAUUUUCUCAGAAUAUGUCUUGGUCUUUUUUUCCCUCUUUGUUUGAAAGACCUGUGUAAUUAAUUAUCUUGUGAACCGGUUACUGUUAUAGUAUGAAAGUGUAAUGUUGAGUGCUUGACCUUUUUUCCCUAAGUUAAACAGUGAAAAUGCCAUUUCAGCACCCGCUUCCCCUAAAAUCAGUGCUCUCAGCACGUGCUUGAGGUUGUGGGUACCCCCUUGUGUCAUGGUCUAAUUUAUGUCCUUUUUACUGAUUUUUAAAGAACAAUCCAAGUCGUUUUUCUUACAGGUGUCUUUAUUUUUGUUUUCAUGGCUUUGUAACCCAUGAGCGUCCAGGUGACCCACCACAGUCCGUUAAGGCCAACAGAUCUGUCUUCAAGUCCAAUGCUUGUAGUCCCUCCCAAGAAGCUAAAAUGGUCCGAGUCCUAAUUGGCAUGCCAGGUUGCAAAUCAGUAUUGGCACUGCCCCAGAACAGCCUGUGUAGGUGUAAUUCAGAGACUGUCCUUUUUUGCAAAGGAGAUGACCAGCAUUUCAACAGUAUGUCUUCCUGGGAGAGCAGAUUCUGCUAUAUCUUCCUUGUCUGCAUCAAAAGACUCCAGAGGAAUGUGGACACAUUUCAUACCCCACUUGUAGAGCAAAGCUUCAAGUGACCAGUCAGCACUGAAAAAAAUAAAUUUGUUUUUUUUGAAA
Molecule: long non-coding RNA, 2794 nt
Organism: Suricata suricatta (meerkat)
Lineage: Eukaryota; Metazoa; Chordata; Mammalia; Carnivora; Herpestidae
Exons: 2
Source: RefSeq, a predicted model, not a curated record